AUUGAACGCUGGCGGCAGGCUUAACACAUGCAAGUCGAGCGGGGGAAGGUAGCUUGCUACCGGACCUAGCGGCGGACGGGUGAGUAAUGCUUAGGAAUCUGCCUAUUAGUGAGGGACAACAUCUCGAAAGGGAUGCUAAUACCGCGUACGUCCUACGGGAGAAAGCAGGGGAUCUUCGGACCUUGCGCUAAUAGAUGAGCCUAAGUCGGAUUAGCUAGUUGGUGGGGUAAAGGCCUACCAAGGCGACGAUCUGUAGCGGGUCUGAGAGGAUGAUCCGCCACACUGGGACUGAGACACGGCCCAGACUCCUACGGGAGGCAGCAGUGGGGAAUAUUGGACAAUGGGGGGAACCCUGAUCCAGCCAUGCCGCGUGUGUGAAGAAGGCCUUAUGGUUGUAAAGCACUUUAAGCGAGGAGGAGGCUACUCUAGUUAAUACCUAGGGAUAGUGGACGUUACUCGCAGAAUAAGCACCGGCUAACUCUGUGCCAGCAGCCGCGGUAA
Molecule: ribosomal RNA, 501 nt
Filed under: uncultured bacterium
Lineage: Bacteria
Description: partial 16S ribosomal RNA
Rfam family: Bacterial small subunit ribosomal RNA
Source: RNAcentral